AAAAAUAAGAGUUUGAUCCUGGCUCAAAACGAACGCUAGUUAUAUGAUUAACAAAUGCAAGUCGAACGUAGCUUGCUUCCCCAUACAUCCAUGUGGGGGCAGAAGGGCAAGAGGAAUGACCCCCUCCUAGCACGUGCUCACUCACUCAAAUGAUAUGCAAGUGGUGUGUAGGGCAUGGGGAACAACAAGCAAAGUGGCGAACGAGUGCGUAAUGCAUGGGAAUCUACCAAACAGUUCACUCCAAAUCCUAAAUAAUUCAUAAAGCAAGCUAAUUUGAAUUUUUUGAUGAGCCCACGUAGUAUCAAGUAGUUUGUUAGGUAAAGGAUGACCAAUCCAAUGAUGUUUAGUUGGUCUUUUUGGAUGAUCAACCACAUUGGGACUAAGACAUGACCUAGACUCCCUUGGGGGGAAGCAGUGGGGUAUAUUGGACAAUGGGCUCAUGCCCGAUCCAACAAUAUCGCAUGGGUGAAUAAGGGCAUUGUUGCUUGUCAAGAUAUUUCAUUGAGUUUCGAUCAUGACAGGACUCGAGGAAUAAGCCUCGGCUAACUCUGUGCCAACAACCAUGAUAAUAUAGGGGGGUAGGUGUUAUUCAAAGUGACUGGGCGUAAAGUGCACGUAGGCGGUGAAAAGGGUGGAAAGUGAAACUCACCAAAGCACUAGCGGGGUACUUUCUUUACCAUUUCACUUGAGUGAGAUAGGGGAGACUGGAAUUUCAUGUGGAGGGAUCAAAUCCUAAGAUAUACGAAGGAACACUAACCGUGAAGGCAGCUCUUUGGGUCCCCACUGACGCUGGGGUGCAAAAGCAUAGGGAGAAAACAUGAUCAGAUAACCUGGUAGUCUAUGCCUCAAGUGUUGAGUGUUCGUCCUUGGUAUACUUACCUACCAGGUAGGAUUAGGAUCAGGGGCUUAGCUAAUGCAUGAAACACUUCACCUGGGGAGUACGGUCGCAAGACUAAAACUUAAAGGAAUUGAUGGGGGCCUGCACAAGUGGUGGAGCAUGUUGUUUAAUUUGAUACAACGUCCAGAACCUUACCAGCCCUUGACAUAUGAACAAGUCUGCAUGUCCCUAAUGGGAUGGUGUGAAAAUUCAUACAUGUGUUGCAUGGCUAUCAUCAUCUCGUGUCGUGAGAUGUUUGGUUAAGUCCUAUAAUGAGAAAAACCCUCA
This is a non-coding RNA of Picea glauca (white spruce), 1165 nucleotides long. The record is from Rfam. NCBI's taxonomy places the organism in Eukaryota, Viridiplantae, Streptophyta, Pinopsida, Pinales, Pinaceae.